RNAcentral lists this long non-coding RNA (693 nucleotides) under Marmota monax (woodchuck). The record is from RNAcentral. Lineage: Eukaryota; Metazoa; Chordata; Mammalia; Rodentia; Sciuridae.
AAGGGCUGGGUUGUAGCUCAGUGGUAGAGCACCCCUGGGUUCAAUCACUAGUACCAGGAGAAAAAAAAAAAAUCUUUUGACAGUCUUAUGUUAGGUUCGUGGAUAAGAUCAAAGACACUGUUGACAGAGAUGUUAGUUCACAGAAGGAAUAUGUGGUUUCAGAAGGAUUCUAUAGCCAAGUAAAUAAACAGUGACAGUGCAUUGUAUUUGUGCUAUAGAAUAGUACCAUUUGGUAGAAAUACAACAUGGCCCUGUAAUAGGGUCAGAAUCACGGUAUACACACAGUUUACGUGCUGAAUAUAUUCUCUGAAUAGACUUCUUUGCAAAGGCUGUAAGACUUGUGGAGCUUCAAAGCUAUGAUAUUAAGAACAUCAGAGCAAAAUUGCCUUAUCUCUGGAUAAGUUACAAUGCUAAUCCUUGGAAUGCAUCUGAAGAUACAAAUUUUGAAGCAUUUUGAAGAACUUCCAAGUUAAUUAAUCAAAAGUUCCAGUAAAUUUCGAGUAUUGUCCCUAUUAUUUAGUGGUGUGAAUUUUGGUAUACUGUCACCAAGUUUAAAAAUGUUAUAAGUAACAAUGAGAAAUUUUUCUGAAAGAAAGGGAAAAAAAAAUCUGGUUUUGGAGGUGAAGCAAAGCAUCCUUUAGGGAAAAGGCAAAGGGUGACAAUUACAGAAAUGAUGAUUCAUUAAGAUGUGUC